CUGCACUUUAAACAUACCUUCAUUUUCCUUCGUAUUAAACUUAAAAAAUUUCUUCAUUUUUUUAAAGAUACGAAAAAUGUUCUUAUUCUAACAAGAGUUGUUUCCCUUUCAUUGUUCAAUUGGUAUAACGAAUCACAUAAUAUUAUAAGUCCCUAGUUACGUACGUGUGUAUAUGUUUAAAAUAUUAUAUUUGAUUAUGCUUGCUUGGACACCAAUGAGCAAAAUAUACACAAUGAAGAGUUUCACAAAGACAAGGAUUUUUAAUGUAAAACCAGCUGUUGUCUACAUGCAUUGUAUAAUUGCUUACAUCAGGAUAGCAGAUUCACUUUUAUUACUACUACAUGGCUUUUUC
Molecule: long non-coding RNA, 352 nt
Filed under: Mytilus galloprovincialis (Mediterranean mussel)
Lineage: Eukaryota; Metazoa; Mollusca; Bivalvia; Mytilida; Mytilidae
Source: RNAcentral